GCCUCGUUAGCGCAGUAGGCAGCGCGUCAGUCUCAUAAUCUAAAGGUCGUGAGUUCGAUUCCCACAUGAGGCA
RNAcentral lists this transfer RNA (73 nucleotides) under Saccoglossus kowalevskii. RNAcentral describes it as "tRNA-Met". It matches the Rfam family "tRNA". Rfam says of the family: Transfer RNA (tRNA) molecules are approximately 80 nucleotides in length. Their secondary structure includes four short double-helical elements and three loops (D, anti-codon, and T loops). The record is from RNAcentral. Lineage: Eukaryota; Metazoa; Hemichordata; Enteropneusta; Harrimaniidae.